UCGAGAAUUUUUCGCAAUGGGGGCAACCCUGACGGAGCGACGCCGCGUGGAGGAUGAAGGUCUUCGGAUUGUAAACUCCUGUCAUUGGUGAACAAGAUGUUCCGAUUAACUGUCGGGGCAUUUGCUAGUAGCCGAAGAGGAAGGGACGGCUAACUCUGUGCCAGCAGCCGCGGUAAUACAGAGGUCCCGAGCGUUGUUCGGAUUCAUUGGGCGUAAAGGGUGCGUAGGCGGUCUUCUAAGUUUGAUGUGAAAUCCCGGGGCUCAACCCUGGAAUGGCAUUGAAUACUGGAGGACUAGAGUACUGGAGAGGAAACUGGAAUUUACGGUGUAGCAGUGAAAUGCGUAGAGAUCGUAAGGAAGACCAGUGGCGAAGGCGAGUUUCUGGACAGUUACUGACGCUGAGGCACGAAGGCCAGGGGAGCAAACGGGAUUAGAUACCCCCGUAGUCC
This 449-nucleotide ribosomal RNA is filed under the name uncultured bacterium. Its description in RNAcentral is "bacterial SSU rRNA". It matches the Rfam family "Bacterial small subunit ribosomal RNA", at positions 355 to 796 of the family's 1533-position model. The record is from RNAcentral.